CCAGCUUCAAGCUGGGAGUUCUGUAUCUUCAGUUGAAUGAUAUUUCUAGCAGUCUGAAGAGGGAACCUCAGCAUUUGAAAAAAAAAUCUACCUCAUCACUGGUCUGCUCCAACACUGGCAAUCUUAAACACUCAGAAGAGUCCCUGAUGACCUGGCUUUCUCAUUGUGGCUUCAGUGCAAUAGAAGAAUGUACUCUCUUGUGAAUCACUGGCCAUGGGACCUCACUCCUUAGAGACAUCUGUCCACUGAGACCUCACUUUACUGUUGCAGUGACUAAGUAGGAAAUAGGAACCUCAAGUUGCGUCCAGCCCAGGACAAGAGGUUAGAGUGCAACCUCUAGACUUCAGGAAAGUGAUGCUGCAGUCAACAACUCCUCAGAGCCAUGGUGCAGCCCCAGCCCCUGCUCCCAUGACACAGCCCUGCACCUGAGCAGCACGCAGAUCUCAGGACCAUGCUUCUACAGCCAAAAACCUUUUCAUGGUGCCAGGACACUGAGCUUUUACACUAUCCAGCUGCCAUGGAGAUUUGGCCAGCUGAUUUAUUGCAAUCAGUUAUUAGUGCUGUACAUUGGUACUUUGAACAUGCACCCUAACCAGGAUGUCUUUCAGCUUGUUCAAAAGCUAAGUAAAAUGGUUUUUUUUUUCCUUCAUAUCGUUUCUCUCUUGUAUAAUCUGUAUGCCUUCAGUAAUAUAUAUGCAUUGCAUAUGUUCAUAGCAUACCCAUGCAAUAUAUGUAUGUAUUUAUCAGAUGCUCAUUCACAAAACCAAAUACAAAUAUAAAUUCAGGCAACAUGUGGUGUUUCAGUAAUCACCUUCAUGUUUGCUCUUCAGCAAGAAUAAGCCCUAAAUUAAAGGUAUAUAGACCUCCCUCCUUGGUGUGCUUACACAUAUAUUAUAUGUGUACAUACAUAUUUAUCAACAUAUAAAUGAAUAGUAUUUUCACUGUAUGAAUAACCCAAUGAAGUGAGAUGGUACAACAUAUAACUGAAUUGGUAAAAUGUUCCCUGUAGGGUGGUGAUAAUUCACAACAUCCUGAAUCUAUGACAAUAAAUACAGAGACAGUUUAUCAAGGAGAAAACAGCAACUUGCCUCUGUAAAAGAAUACUCUUGCAGAAUUACCCAUCUACCCCACUGAAACCACAGGGUUACAGUCCCACCCUUUUCUGUUACCAGGCUAGGAACAGAAAUUUUGCAG
RNAcentral lists this long non-coding RNA (1194 nucleotides) under Gallus gallus (chicken). Its description in RNAcentral is "lncRNA (ENSGALG00010004138.1)". The record is from RNAcentral. Lineage: Eukaryota; Metazoa; Chordata; Aves; Galliformes; Phasianidae.